GACGUAGGGGCCAAGCGUUGUCCGGAUUUAUUGGGCGUAAAGAGCUCGUAGGCGGUUCGGCAAGUCAGCUGUGAAAUCUCCACGCUCAACGUGGAGGGGUCAGCUGAUACUGCUGUGACUCGAGUCCGGUAGGGGAGUGUGGAAUUCCCGGUGUAGCGGUGAAAUGCGCAGAUAUCGGGAGGAACACCAGUAGCGAAGGCGGCACUCUGGGCCGGUACUGACGCUGAGGAGCGAAAGCGUGGGGAGCGAACAGG
This 254-nucleotide ribosomal RNA is filed under the name uncultured bacterium. RNAcentral's name for it is "partial 16S ribosomal RNA". It matches the Rfam family "Bacterial small subunit ribosomal RNA", at positions 524 to 776 of the family's 1533-position model. The record is from RNAcentral.